AAAAUGACUCUCGGCAACGGAUAUCUCGGCUCUUGCAUCGAUGAAGAACGUAGCAAAAUGCGAUACUUGGUGUGAAUUGCAGAAUCCCGUGAACCAUCGAGUCUUUGAACGCAAGUUGCGCCCGAAGCCAUUAGGUUGAGGGCACGCCUGCCUGGGUGUCACAY
RNAcentral lists this ribosomal RNA (164 nucleotides) under Canavalia boliviana. RNAcentral describes it as "5.8S ribosomal RNA". It matches the Rfam family "5.8S ribosomal RNA". From Rfam's summary of the family: 5.8S ribosomal RNA (5.8S rRNA) is a component of the large subunit of the eukaryotic ribosome. It is transcribed by RNA polymerase I as part of the 45S precursor that also contains 18S and 28S rRNA. Functionally, it is thought that 5.8S rRNA may be involved in ribosome translocation. Lineage: Eukaryota; Viridiplantae; Streptophyta; Magnoliopsida; Fabales; Fabaceae. The record is from RNAcentral.